GACGUAGGAGGCGAGCGUUGUCCGGAUUCAUUGGGCGUAAAGAGCACGCAGGCAGUUUGGCAAGUCGGAUGUGAAAACCCGGAGCUCAACUCCGGACCUGCAUCCGAAACUGCCCGACUAGAGGUAGGUAGGGGAGAUCGGAAUUCCUGGUGUAGCGGUGAAAUGCGCAGAUAUCAGGAGGAACACCGGUGGCGAAGGCGGAUCUCUGGGCCUUACCUGACGCUCAGGUGCGAAAGCUAGGGGAGCGAACAGG
Molecule: ribosomal RNA, 253 nt
Filed under: uncultured bacterium
Lineage: Bacteria
Description: partial 16S ribosomal RNA
Rfam family: Bacterial small subunit ribosomal RNA
Source: RNAcentral